This 500-nucleotide ribosomal RNA is filed under the name uncultured bacterium. RNAcentral describes it as "partial 16S ribosomal RNA". It matches the Rfam family "Bacterial small subunit ribosomal RNA", at positions 30 to 523 of the family's 1533-position model. The record is from RNAcentral.
AUUGAACGCUGGCGGAAUGCUUUACACAUGCAAGUCGAACGGCAGCACGGACUUCGGUCUGGUGGCGAGUGGCGAACGGGUGAGUAAUGUAUCGGAACGUGCCCAGUCGUGGGGGAUAACGUAGUGAAAAUUACGCUAAUACCGCAUACGAUCUAUGGAUGAAAGCGGGGGAUCGCAAGACCUCGCGCGAUUGGAGCGGCCGAUAUCAGAUUAGGUAGUUGGUGGGGUAAAGGCCCACCAAGCCAACAAUCUGUAGCUGGUCUGAGAGGACGACCAGCCACACUGGAACUGAGACACGGGCCAGACUCCUACGGGAGGCAGCAGUGGGGAAUUUUGGACAAUGGGCGAAAGCCUGAUCCAGCCAUUCCGCGUGCAGGAUGAAGGCCCUCAGGUUGUAAACUGCUUUUGUACAGAACGAAAAGGUUUCUACUAAUACCAGGAGCUCAUGACGGUACUGUAAGAAUAAGCACCGGCUAACUACGUGCCAGCAGCCGCAGUAA